Molecule: long non-coding RNA, 836 nt
Filed under: Androctonus crassicauda
Lineage: Eukaryota; Metazoa; Arthropoda; Arachnida; Scorpiones; Buthidae
Source: RNAcentral
AAAAAAAAAAACUGUUCUCUCUCUGAUCUCAUAUAAUGUGGCCCAACACAAUUCUUCCAAUGUGGCCCUCUGAUCUAUACCUAUCAGCAUUCCAAUCCAUCCCAGCAGAACAGUCCCCAUAACCAUCACUCUAUCUUUGGAGCCAUAGACUCAUGUUUUUGUCACAUUCAAAUCCUCCCAUCUGCAUGGUAUAAUGUAAACCCAAAUUCAUUAGACCAUAAGGCCUUUUUACAUUGUUCAAUGGUCCUUGGCAAACAGCAAGCAACAUUUUCUUUUUUGGCUUGAGGUUCCUGUUAACAACCGAGAAGAAGAAAUGUAAGACGGAGUGUUAAAUUUCAACAAGUGGUAUGUUGCAACAUGAUAUUCAGGAUACCAAUGUUGUAUUCAGCAAUCAGUUGUGCACAUGUAACCCUCCUGAGUCGUCUCUGACCCGUUCAUUUGCCUUUGUUUUCCAACUGGAGUGUGACUUGCUGCUGGAAAUUUUUUUUGUAUAUUCACCUAUUUGUGGUGUUCUCAGAAGUCCUAUCAGUGUCACAGUUCUGGCAAUGCUAGUAGCUGCUGUCCAAGCACUUGCAAUCAUUCAUUUGAAAGCAGUUAAAAUCUCUCUCUUAUCCAUGUCACUGAUAUCACACUUGUAAUAAUCAAAACACAGACAGAUGCACCAGCAGCACUGUCCAACUAUGCCAUCUAUUGAUGAUUUUGAUCCACAAGUACAAUGUAGUUGCUGUCUCUAAUAAAGUGGUAUUAUAUACAGUCUGUUAUAGGUUACUAUUAAACAGGAGAUAUAUAAGGAUAUAUAUCCUUAUAUCUGUUAUGAUAGUUAUUACAAUAUAUGU